This 1437-nucleotide unclassified non-coding RNA is filed under the name Leishmania donovani. Its description in RNAcentral is "gene:unknown". The record is from RNAcentral. Lineage: Eukaryota; Euglenozoa; Kinetoplastea; Trypanosomatida; Trypanosomatidae.
CGGGGUCGUUGCCGUGCCUCCGCCAACGUGAGGCUUCGGACGAAGCCUCAGAGCACGGCUGCGUCGGCAUCCGACGCCACGAACGCACGAACGCGGCCCUCGCGAGGCAUGUGGACGCCUGACUCAGUCAAACCCAUGCUGCCCAAGAAGCGUCCCCUCACCAGCAGCGCCGCAGCUGGUGGUUGGGCUGCGGUUGCGGUCGCUGCUGUUGGUGAUGAGGCAUGAACCGUGACGGUGCUCGGCGUGCCAUGCCUAGCAGAGUAGGCGUUGCUGCCCGCCCAAAGCCCGUGUGCCUCUGCUAGCGCCGGUAUCCUUGCGUGGGUGCACUUUUUCCGACACGAUGAGGACUUAUGUGCCGACGACGACGGCGCCGUCCUACACAACCGCCUCCAGAUGCAGCUCAUCCUGUGCUUCAGGGCCGCGUUUCUGGCCGUUGACUUUUACACCAAGUCAGAGCAUGUUGACCGUCGAUUCGUGCGCGACGUCAAGAGUGCGGAUGAUAUGUACUGCCCUUACAUGAGCGUACCGGGGGCUGCCACUAUCGAAUGCGGCGGCAUUGCUGACGCACAGAACACGCCUUCGCUGGAUGGCCCGCCAAGCAGCGGUCGUUGGAAAAAGGAAAAGGUGAGUUGGCGAACUGGUGGUGGUACUCGGUUGUAGACGAGUAUGGCACGGUGAAAGGCGGCGUGCACUGUGCCGUGCACAUUAAAGGUGCCCUUGCAUGCAUGGCGUGCCUCGACACUCGCGUGCAUGCGUAGGUUGUCUACGCAUUUCGUUGUGUGCAUCGCUCCCCACUGACGUGUUGUCUACACUUCGUUCUCUCACGUCGCGAGAGAAGGGCGAGUGCGCUCAGGGAUGAGUGCGUUUCGUUCUCCUUGGGGUGGGGCUACGCAGUCCUCCUCCUCUCCCGGUGCGCUUCAGACCUUCCCAUUGCUGUUUUUUCUCUUGCCAUUUUCGUACAGAGGCAUGUAUGUGGACUUCGGCACCCAGACAUCCGUACAUAGUGAAGCUGCAGGACGCGGUUGCCGUAUACAUGGACGCACAGACACUCGCAUAAUCAGGCCCCAGUUGUCGCCCAUGGACUGCCUUCCACCACACGGAGUAGCAUGCUUUGGGAUGAAGAAAAGGGGGGGCGUCCGCUCAACUUGUUCCCUCUCACCCCUCUUCCCCCCAAAGAAAGGGCGGAGCAGCUAUCCGCCGCCUUUCCGGGUGGCAGGAGGCAAGGCUCUACUCCUUUUGGUUUCCUCCACUAGAUGGAUGUUGAGAAAAUGAUUGCCCUGCUUUUAUCCGGAUGAGUGUGUCCCUCUCUUCUCUCCUUCUCUCUCUCUGUACGCUUGCUCUGCCUCGGUAUACCCACCCACCUCUAUCGAGCUCGUGCUUCUCCUUCGGUCACCGCCGCGUGCUUGUUUCGCCUUUCGGUUGCUGCGCUUUGUUUAG